This 1362-nucleotide long non-coding RNA is filed under the name Olea europaea subsp. europaea. The record is from RNAcentral. Lineage: Eukaryota; Viridiplantae; Streptophyta; Magnoliopsida; Lamiales; Oleaceae.
AUUGUAUCAACUCAAGAAAAUGAGUGGACAAGAUACCAUUAAAAUUUAACUAAGAGACGAGCUUAUUAUAUAGAUUUUUUGACAUCAAGUUACAAUGUCCAGCCUUGAUGCUAUCUCAGUAGUCUGCAAGCUAUCCUGGUCUUCAGAGGUUCAGCCGUGAUACAUUCCAGAUUGGAAGAGCUGGAAAACUAUUGCAAAGAUUACUUUACAUAUAGUGUCUAUCGUAAAUGCCGAAAAUUCUCACAAAUUUUGUAAUCUCUUAGUUGAAUUAAUGAAAUUUUUUCUCUCUUUCUAUUUAAAAACCAAGUGUACUAUUAAUCAUUGUUUGGAUCGAAAUAAUCUGUAUAUAAUACACAGUUCAUAAAAUAAACAAAUUUAUUGACACAAACCAAAAUAUGUUGCUUUAAGUUUCCACAAAAUUCCUCAAAUAUUAAAAUCAAUUAAUCAACAAAACAAAAAAUAUAGAUGCUACCCACCAAGGUUGAAACACAUAAAAAAAUAAAUAAAAUUAAAAAAAUUGAAUAGAAUUGUACAAAAUUAAAUACUUAACCAAUGCUAAAUCAUGUCCAUUUCAUGUUCUUCCCAGUAUAAAAAAAUGAAUCCUGUUAUCGCUAAAUUUCAUACUAUAUAGCUUUUGAUCUGUAAAUUGGGACUGUAAAUUUGCCAGUGUUCUCGUUCCUUAACUAAGUAUAUCUCUGAGGCCUGGUACAAAAGAAAUUAAACCAAGGGGAUUUUCAUUUCGAAGGAGAUUCAAUUCUCCUUUUUAAUUGUGUGUCCACAACUAUGUUAUUGUUCUCAACACCCACACCUUUGCAUGAACUGUUAGCUUUAUUGCCAUGGGACAUGUGGAUUGCAGGGAUUCAUUUACUAAAAAUUUGCCUUAUCCUUUGUUCGUGCACAAUAAUGGAAAGCAAACAGUAGAUAGGCAUUGAGUCUCAGAUGACUAUAUGUUAUAUCAGCAUUUUGAUACUGUUUCUACCUCAGAAACACUGACACGCUGUUGGUGACAACGUAUCGGUGUCCAAUACAUAUCAGACACCGAUAACCCUCUAACACGUUGCCGACGCGUGUCGGAGUUGCUUGCAACGUGUCAGAGGAUUUGGUGGGCAGCUGACUUGAAGAGAUUCAACAAGAAAAAUAAAGGGGAGGAAGAAAUUCUACCGGCGGAAGUCUGGCAGUCUGGGGAAGGACAAAAAAGAGAAGGAAAGAAACAAGAGGAAAAGAGAAGAGGAAGAGAUUGCUGGGCUGAAAAAAUGCAACGGGUGGAAGUGAGUGGUCUGGGGAAGGAAAGAGAACAGAGAUGGAAAGAAAAAAGAGAGAAGAGAAGAGAAAGAGACUGCCGGGCAAAAAAAAAUGUCAUGG